Molecule: long non-coding RNA, 4050 nt
Organism: Passer domesticus (house sparrow)
Lineage: Eukaryota; Metazoa; Chordata; Aves; Passeriformes; Passeridae
Exons: 4
Source: RefSeq, a predicted model, not a curated record
CAUGUGCCACAAAGUGUCACAGUCAUCUCCUUUUUCCUGCAGCAACCAUCAGCAAUCCCCACUGCCAGAGCCAAAUGCCUGGGAAGACGGAGACAGGGAGGACAUUUGGAGUGAUGGAUUUUGACUUCCCAGAGAGGUCAGGCAGAAGUCUGGAUUUAAAGACUGUCACCAGCACAGGAAACAUCAAUUUGAGAGGAAAUAUGUGAGCUAAUAUCUACAAAUAAUUUGGUUUGUUACCAGGUGCAGACAACGUGACUCCUGAAACAGACAAGGGUCUGCACAAGCCUGAACUUUGAGGGGAAAUGCCAGGUUCAAGGAAGAAUAUGGGGUAGGCAGGUCAGGAAGGCUGUGCCUUCUCAGUACCUUGGCCAAUGGGGAAAGGAAGAGGGCAGCAUGCAGCCAGGAGUUUAGGAUAAAAGGAGGCUGCACCCUUGGAAACCUCAAGAGAGAAAACCCUGCAGGCAUGUGCCCCAGUGAAAUCUCUCCCUUUAUGCAAAUAAAGUUGAAGGACUCCUCUGUGUCAUUUUUGGACAUAAAUCUCUGGCGUUUGUGGGUUUUCCUGGCAGUGACAACAUGGAAUCUCAUGGAAGCAAGUGUCCAGAGUUUCAUGGCACAGACUCACAGAGUGCUGGAGACCAUUAUCACAAUGGGAACACAUGGAACAAAGGCUCCAGAGGAACACAGCAGGGUCUCAUGGAAAGCAAGAGAGCAUCCUGAUGGAAUGGAAACUCAUGGAACCAAGUGUCCACUGUUUUACAGCAGGGCCUCAUGGAAUGCUGGAGACCAUUGUAGCACAACUGGGCCUCAUGGAACUAAGAAGAUUGCUGUGGUACAAUGGAAUCUCAAGGAAACAAGGGUCAGUUGUUAACCCCAGGCUCUGCUUUGACCACCUGGGGCGUCAUGGGACACAGGUGCCACUGGGACAUUGCCAGGUCUAGUAGAAACAAGACUCCAUUCUUGCACAGCAAGGCCUCAUGACACCCAGGACAGCAGUGUGACACAAUGACAUCUUGGGGAACCACGUGUCAACUGCAAACACAACGGGGCCUCAUGGAAGCCAGGUGCCACUUGGAUAGUGCCAGGGCAGGUGGAAAUCAGUGUCCAUCGUGACACAGCACAGCACCUUGGAACUCAACAAACCAUUGGGACAACAUGAAAUCUCAUGCAUCCAAGGCUCUACUUUGGCAAAGUGGGGCCCAUAGGACACAGGUGCCACCAGGACAUUGCCAGCUCUUGUGGAACCCAGUGUCCAUUGUGAGAGAGUGCAGCCUCAAGGAAAUGUGGACCACUGUGACGCAAUGGAGUCUCAUGGAAGCAAGUGUCAAUUGUGAAUGCAGCAUGGCCUCAUUGAACCCAGGGGCAACUGGGACCAUGCUGUGGCUCAUAGAAGCAAGGGGCCAUGUGACACAGCGGGGCUUCUUGGAACCCAGGAGAACAUUGUGGGCCCAUGGAUUCUCAUAGAAGCAAAGUGCGACAUCACAAUGGUCUCCUGGCUUUCGUGAGACCCCUCUUCAUAACAAUUCAGACUUGUUUCUGUGAGAUUCUAUUGUGCCACAAUUCUCUCCUGGCUUCAAUAAGGCUGUGCUGUGUUUACAAUUGAUACUUGGCUCCCCAGGAUUCCAUGGCGUCACUCUGCUCUCUUGUGAUUUGAGGCUGUGCUGUGUUACAAUGGACGCUUGCUUCCACCAAGGCUGGAGAUGUCCCAGUGGCACCAGGCUUCCAUGAGACCCUGCCGUGUCACAAUGGACCCUUGGUUCCCUGAGAUUCCAUUGUGGCACAGUGCUUUCCUAGAUCCUAUGAGGCCCUGCUGUGCAAUAAUGGAGACUUGUUUCUCCUAGGCCUGGAAAUAUUUCUGUGCCCCUUAUGUUCCAUGCGUCCCUCUCUGUCAAAAUUUACCCUUGGCUCCAUUGCGUAACAAUGGUUCCCAUGUUUCUAUGAUCUUCCCUGUGUCUCAAGGGACACUUGAUUCCAUAAGAGCUGGCAAUGUUCCAGGAGCACCUGUCUUGUAUUUGGCCCUUUUGUCAAAAUAAUGGUUCCAUGAGAUUUCACUUUGUCACAAUGUUUUCCUUGGUUUCCUUAGAAGCUGUUAUGUUCACAAUUGACCCUUGGUUCUUUGAGACUUGAUUACAUUACAGUGGUGUCCUUGGUUUCAUAAAAUCCACAUUUGUCACAAUGGAGCCUUGGUUUCAGGAUAUUCCAUUGCAACACAAUGGUCUCACCACUUUAUGAGGUUGCUCUGUGAAACAGUGGACACUUGGUUCCAUGAGAUUGUUGGGUAAAAGUGUUCCAUUAGGCCAGCCUCUGUCACUAUGGACACUUGCUUGCACAAGCCUUGGAAAUGUCCCAUCAGCACCUGGGCUCCAUCAGGCCCUGCUGUGUUGACAAUUUACCUGUUGUUCCAGGACAUUCCAUUGCCUCACAAUGGUCUGCUUGGUGCCAUGAGGCCCUUCUGUGUCACAACAGAGCCUUGGUUCCGUGAGUUUCCAUUGGGUCACAGCGGUCUCCUGUGUUCCAUUAGGCCUAGCUCUGUCACUGUGGACACUUGAUUCCAUGGGCAGUGGCAAUGUUUACAGUGGCACCCCACAGUCUUACAAGUGACAGUUUGUUCCAUGACAUUCCAUGGAGGCACAACAGUCACUUGGGUUCCAUGCAGGUGCCCGGGGAGAAGGAGCUCAGCCCAAAUAUCCUAGGGGUUCCUGGGCUGGUGUUUUCUGGGGAGAAAUCUUUGGAUCUUGCAGGACUCCAAAGCUGAGCCACGGAUGCCUCUUGGGAUGUAGUGGAGCAUUGUGAAAGCCAAGAGACCUUCGUGGAGCCAAGGCUGUAGUGGGUCACAGAGGGACCUCCUGGAAGCCAGGAGACCCUCAUGGAGCCAAGGCUGCAGUGUGUCAGAGAGGAACCUUGUGGAAGCCAGGAGGGCAGUGUGAGGCUAUGGAACAAUAUGGCACCAAGGUUUCACUGGGACUUGACAGAACCUCACGGAAGCAAGGAAGCAUUGUGAGCCUCCAGAAUCAGCGUCUGCAGGAGGAUUUUCUGCUCCCUCCUGGGAUUUUGGUGGACAAUAAAGCCUGAGACAGUCUCCCAAGGUGUCCAGCCGUAUCAUCAGUGGGGGCAAAAUCUGGAGGGAUGCCCUGUCAACCCUGCUGCUCCUCCUGGCUGGGCGUGGAGCUGCUGGGACACCGGGGUGGCAGGGAAUCCUUAGUGGUGUGCAAGGAAAGGUUCACCACAAGCAGCACUGGAACAAGAUGUGCAGGUAAAACAAGCGAGAUAGCAGAGAAAGCAAGAUAGCAAAGCAAGUGACUUAACAAAUGCCAUCAAGAGCAAGAUAGCAAGUUUUUACGGAACUUGCAAACCACAAAACCAGCUAAAACCAGGUUAGACUGAAGAAGCACUAGGCAUGGGCUGAUGAUACAGGUAAAAAGUUCAAAUGUGAGGAGGACUACAGAAACCUUCAUCAAAGGACCACCGGAAGAAAAGAAGAUGCAUGCACUGAAGCAGCAAAUGGUUGUAAAACCAUCACACAGCUUUAUGCAAAUGACAGACAUCAGGACCCUGAGGACCCCGAUUGGAAUUCUGGCCUGCCGGUGGUGGAUGAAUGCCAAAAAUCCUGAAGCCCCUGAGUAGAAUUCUGGCCUACCAAGUGAUUAUUCACAGCUGUCUAAAGUGACUUCUAGCACGGCCUGGUAAGGGGGGCGAUGUGCCCUAUAUGCUUGCACCUGCUUCACAACAAUAGCCCAGGAAUUGUCCCACCUCUUAGCCAGAUGAACUUGCUGGGGCAACUUUGGUAGCCCCCCAUGGAAAAUCCUUCAUCUGCUCCACUACCACCAUGAUGGACGGAGAUUGAAGCCCCCUCCCAAGGACUGAGACUGAGAUCCCUGUAAUCAUGACACAGGGGUGCUGGCCUGACUGAAGUGGGAUGCCUGCUAAGUGUUGCCUGCAGAUGUGUUCACUGGACCUAGACUGGUUUCCCAUAGAAACCAGUCCUGAAACAACGGAUCCCACUCACUGCUGAUAGUGACUUACCCUGCUGAGAACACGGACUUUCCAGACCUA